GAAUGUGAGGGCAAUCUGGCUGUGACAUCUGUCACCCAUGGAUCACCAGGGUUGAUUCGGCAGAUCCGCUGGGUAGGUGGGCGUCCCCUUCCCUCCUCACUGCUGCAAGUGUGUCCCUCCCGAAGCUGCGUGCUCAGCCCCAGAGGACAACCUUUCCCGAUACAGGAGGACCAUCCUUCAGUCAAAGGGGCCUGGGGAGCUGCGCUCUCCUGCUUGAACCUCCCAACAAGCUUUCGAAACCGAUGCUUUUAAAAACACUCCAUUUAUUUAGCUUGGAUGGGGACCUUCCCACACAUCAGCU
Molecule: small nuclear RNA, 301 nt
Filed under: Camelus bactrianus (Bactrian camel)
Lineage: Eukaryota; Metazoa; Chordata; Mammalia; Artiodactyla; Camelidae
Also listed under: 2 other names
Description: 7SK RNA
Rfam family: 7SK RNA
About the family: 7SK was discovered as an abundant small nuclear RNA in the mid-70s but a possible function has only recently been suggested.
Source: Rfam by way of RNAcentral